Molecule: ribosomal RNA, 497 nt
Filed under: uncultured bacterium
Lineage: Bacteria
Description: partial 16S ribosomal RNA
Rfam family: Bacterial small subunit ribosomal RNA
Source: RNAcentral
GAUGAACGCUGGCGGCGUGCCUAAUACAUGCAAGUCGAGCGAACAGACGAGGAGCUUGCUCCUCUGACGUUAGCGGCGGACGGGUGAGUAACACGUGGAUAACCUACCUAUAAGACUGGGAUAACUUCGGGAAACCGGAGCUAAUACCGGAUAAUAUAUUGAACCGCAUGGUUCAAUAGUGAAAGACGGUUUUGCUGUCACUUAUAGAUGGAUCCGCGCCGCAUUAGCUAGUUGGUAAGGUAACGGCUUACCAAGGCAACGAUGCGUAGCCGACCUGAGAGGGUGAUCGGCCACACUGGAACUGGGCCACGGUCCAGACCCCUACGGGAGGCAGCAGUAGGGAAUCUUCCGCAAUGGGCGAAAGCCUGACGGAGCAACGCCGCGUGAGUGAUGAAGGUCUUCGGAUCGUAAAACUCUGUUAUUAGGGAAGAACAAAUGUGUAAGUAACUAUGCACGUCUUGACGGUACCUAAUCAGAAAGCCACGGCUAACUACGUG